Molecule: ribosomal RNA, 509 nt
Filed under: uncultured bacterium
Lineage: Bacteria
Description: bacterial SSU rRNA
Rfam family: Bacterial small subunit ribosomal RNA
Source: RNAcentral
GAUGAACGCUAGCGGGAGGCUUAACACAUGCAAGUCGAGGGGCAGCAUAGGGUAGCAAUACUCUGAUGGCGACCGGCAAACGGGUGAGUAACGCGUAUGCAACCUACCCUGUACAGGGGGAUAACCCGGAGAAAUUCGGACUAAUAUCCCGUAAUAAUAUCCGGAGGCAUCUUUGGAUAUUUAAAGUUCCGACGGUACGGAUGGGCAUGCGUAACAUUAGCUGGCUGGUGGGGUAACGCCACCAGGGCGACGAUGGCUAGGGGGUCUGAGAGGACGAUCCCCCACACUGGUACUGAGACACGGACCAGACUCCUACGGGAGGCAGCAGUGAGGAAUAUUGGUCAAUGGGCGGAAGCCUGAACCAGCCAUGCCGCGUGCAGGAUGACGGCCCUACGGUUGUAAACUGCGUUUUCCCGGGCGAAUAACCCCUCGCGAGGGGGAGUGCCGGUACCGGGGAAUAAGGAUCGGCUAACUCCGUGCCGAGCCGAGCCGCGGUAAACCAGAGAGUA